GACGAACGCUGGCGGCGUGCCUAAUACAUGCAAGUCGAACGAAAACGCCCGGCUCUUGCUCUGUUCACUCUAGUGGCGCACGGGUGAGUAACACGUGGGUAACCUGCCUAUCAGAGGGGGAUAACAUCCGGAAACGGGUGCUAAAACCGUAUAAGUUUUUGAACCGCAUGGUUUGAUGGGGAAAAUCGGCGCUAGCUUCUGCUCUCGCAUGGUCCCGCGGGGCUUUAGCUAGUUGGUGUGGUAACGGCUCACCAAGGCCGUGAUGCAUAGCCGACGUGAGAGGGUGAUAGGCGACAUGGGGACUGAGACACGGCCAAAACGCCUACGGGAGGCAGCAGUAGGGAAUCUUCCGCAAUGGACGCAAGUCUGACGGAGCAACGCCGCGUGAGUGAAGAAGGUGUUCGGAGCGUAAAACUCUGUUGUUAGAGAAGAACAAGUGCUGGAGUAACUGUUAGCGGCCUGACGGUAACUAACCAGAAAGCCACGGCUAACUACGUG
This 498-nucleotide ribosomal RNA is filed under the name uncultured bacterium. RNAcentral's name for it is "partial 16S ribosomal RNA". It matches the Rfam family "Bacterial small subunit ribosomal RNA", at positions 28 to 507 of the family's 1533-position model. The record is from RNAcentral.